RNAcentral lists this ribosomal RNA (560 nucleotides) under uncultured dinoflagellate. Its description in RNAcentral is "bacterial SSU rRNA". It matches the Rfam family "Eukaryotic small subunit ribosomal RNA", at positions 496 to 1061 of the family's 1831-position model. The record is from RNAcentral. Lineage: Eukaryota; Dinophyceae.
AUCUGUCUUGUAAUUGGAAUGAGUAGAAUUUAAAUCCCUUUACGAGUACCAAUUGGAGGGCAAGUCUGGUGCCAGCAGCCGCGGUAAUUCCAGCUCCAAUAGCGUAUAUUAAAGUUGUUGCGGUUAAAAAGCUCGUAGUUGGAUUUCUGCCAAGGAUGACCGGUCCGCCCUCUGGGUGAGUAUCUGGCUCGGCCUGGGCAUCUUCUUGGAGAACGUAGCUGCACUUGACUGUGUGGUGCGGUAUCCAGGACUUUUACUUUGAGGAAAUUAGAGUGUUUCAAGCAGGCUUUCGCCUUGAAUAUAUUAGCAUGGAAUAAUAAGAUAGGACUUCGGAACUAUUUUGUUGAUUUGCGUUACGAAGUAAUGAUUAAUAGGGACAGUUGGGGGUAUUCGUAUUUCGUUGUCAGAGGUGAAAUUCUUGGAUUUCCGAAAGACGAACUACUGCGAAAGCAUUUACCAAGGAUGUUUUCAUUAAUCAAGACCGAAAGUUAGGGGAUCGAAGAUGAUUAGAUACCAUCGUAGUCUUAACCAUAAACUAUGCCGACUCAGGAUUCGCGGUU